UACGUAGGAUGCGAGCGUUGUCCGGAUUUAUUGGGCGUAAAGCGAACGUAGGCGGUCAUUUAAGUCUGGUCUUAAAGACUGGGGCUCAACCCCAGGAGUGGACUGGAUACUGGAUGACUAGAGGAUGUUAGGGGAAAGUGGAAUUCCCAGUGUAGCGGUGAAAUGCGUAGAUAUUGAGAGGAACACCAGUGGCGAAAGCGGCUUUCUGGGACAUUCCUGACGCUGAGGUUCGAAAGCUCGGGGAGCAAACAGG
RNAcentral lists this ribosomal RNA (253 nucleotides) under uncultured bacterium. RNAcentral's name for it is "partial 16S ribosomal RNA". It matches the Rfam family "Bacterial small subunit ribosomal RNA", at positions 524 to 776 of the family's 1533-position model. The record is from RNAcentral.